Transfer RNA from Gossypium raimondii (Peruvian cotton), 72 nucleotides. It matches the Rfam family "tRNA". Rfam says of the family: Transfer RNA (tRNA) molecules are approximately 80 nucleotides in length. Their secondary structure includes four short double-helical elements and three loops (D, anti-codon, and T loops). NCBI's taxonomy places the organism in Eukaryota, Viridiplantae, Streptophyta, Magnoliopsida, Malvales, Malvaceae. The record is from Rfam.
GCCUUUGUAGCAUAGUGGUAGCGCGUUCGCUUCGUAAGCGAAAGGUCGCGAGUUCGAUCCUCGCCAGAGGCU